UCCCGGGUGGCUUAGAUGGUAAAGAAUCUGCCUGCAAUGCAGGAGACCUGGGUUCGAUCCCUGGGUUGGAAG
RNAcentral lists this transfer RNA (72 nucleotides) under Bos taurus (domestic cattle). It matches the Rfam family "tRNA". From Rfam's summary of the family: Transfer RNA (tRNA) molecules are approximately 80 nucleotides in length. Lineage: Eukaryota; Metazoa; Chordata; Mammalia; Artiodactyla; Bovidae. RNAcentral also lists the same sequence under 1 other name. The record is from Rfam by way of RNAcentral.